GGUAGCAUGGCUGAGAGGCCGAAAGCAACGGCUUGCUAAGCCGUAGAGUGGAAACGCUCCGCGCGUUCGAAUCGCGCUGCUACCGCCA
This 88-nucleotide transfer RNA is filed under the name Massilia sp. CCM 8734. RNAcentral describes it as "tRNA-Ser". It matches the Rfam family "tRNA". Rfam says of the family: Transfer RNA (tRNA) molecules are approximately 80 nucleotides in length. Lineage: Bacteria; Pseudomonadati; Pseudomonadota; Betaproteobacteria; Burkholderiales; Oxalobacteraceae. The record is from RNAcentral.